GGGCUGGGGCUCAGUGGUAGAGCACUCACCUGGCAAGGGUGAGGCACUGAGUUCAAGCCUUAGCAUGGUGUA
This 72-nucleotide transfer RNA is filed under the name Marmota monax (woodchuck). RNAcentral describes it as "tRNA.Ala". The record is from RNAcentral. Lineage: Eukaryota; Metazoa; Chordata; Mammalia; Rodentia; Sciuridae.